CCAGUGGCAUUGCCGGGUAGCUAUGUGCGGACGGGAUAACCGCUGAAAGCAUCUAAGCGGGAAGCCCCCUUCAAGAUGAGACAUCCCCGAGGCCUUGAGCCUCCUGAAGGGCCCAGCGAGACCAGCUGGUUGAUAGGCCGGGUGUGGAAGCGCUGCAAGGCGUUGAGCUAACCGGUACUAAUGGCCCGUGAGGCUUGACCAUA
This 203-nucleotide ribosomal RNA is filed under the name Halomonas ventosae. Its description in RNAcentral is "partial 23S ribosomal RNA". It matches the Rfam family "Bacterial large subunit ribosomal RNA", at positions 2729 to 2925 of the family's 2925-position model. Lineage: Bacteria; Pseudomonadati; Pseudomonadota; Gammaproteobacteria; Oceanospirillales; Halomonadaceae. The record is from RNAcentral.